This 485-nucleotide long non-coding RNA is filed under the name Homo sapiens (human). RNAcentral's name for it is "HSALNT0194294". The record is from RNAcentral. Lineage: Eukaryota; Metazoa; Chordata; Mammalia; Primates; Hominidae.
GGACUUAAGACAUUUUAUUCGGAUAUUCAAGGAAGACAUCACCCAGGAGGCUGAAGGGCUUGAGGCUAUUUGAGAAACAGAAGAAAGAGAAACCCAUGCAGCUAACAGACUCAGUCACUAAGUCACAAUUCCAACUCCUCCUGGCAGAAAAUCUAAUGACUCAUCUUUGGCUCUGGCUUCUGAUCUGCUGUGGCCAAGUUAAGGAGCAGAUAUCACAUGGUGAUUGGACUGCCUCUUCCAGUGCCGUGAGUCCUCUCACAGAGAGGAGUAAGCGGAGAAAGAAUGAUUGGCACCUCUAGAGUACGCACCAAGCCAAUCUGCAGAUCACAGGGAAGGUGACCUGAAGGUUAUUUUAUGAACUGCUCAAGAUAGAACAGAAACAACUUUGCCUUACACUUUACACAUUACUUAUCCAGGCACUUUCGGGAAAGUAAAAGUUGCAAAGUAAAGUUAUAUAACAUAGAGUAAAAUCCUAAAAGGUAGUC